Molecule: ribosomal RNA, 524 nt
Filed under: uncultured Planctomycetota bacterium
Lineage: Bacteria; Pseudomonadati; Planctomycetota
Description: bacterial SSU rRNA
Rfam family: Bacterial small subunit ribosomal RNA
Source: RNAcentral
UCGAGGAUCUUCGGCAAUGGGCGCAAGCCUGACCGAGCGACGCCGCGUGUGCGAUGAAGGCCUUCGGGUUGUAAAGCACUGUCGAGGGGGAGGAAAGCCCGCAAGGGCCUGACCUAUCCCUGGAGGAAGCACGGGCUAAGUUCGUGCCAGCAGCCGCGGUAAGACGAACCGUGCGAACGUUGUUCGGAAUCACUGGGCUUAAAGGGCGCGUAGGCGGGCCCUCCAGUCAGGGGUGAAAUCUUCCGGCUCAACCGGAAAAGUGCCCCUGAUACUGAGGGUCUCGAGGGGUGUAGGGGCAUGUGGAACUUCCGGUGGAGCGGUGAAAUGCGUAGAUAUCGGAAGGAACGCCGGUGGCGAAAGCGACGUGCUGGACACCUUCUGACGCUGAGGCGCGAAAGCCAGGGGAGCAAACGGGGAUUAGAUACCCCCGGUAGUCCUGGCCCUAAACGAUGGGUACUAGAUUGUGGACCGGACAUGGGUUCACAGUCGAAGCAAAAGUGAUAAGUACCCCGCCUGGGGAGUAU